This 253-nucleotide ribosomal RNA is filed under the name uncultured bacterium. RNAcentral's name for it is "partial 16S ribosomal RNA". It matches the Rfam family "Bacterial small subunit ribosomal RNA", at positions 524 to 776 of the family's 1533-position model. The record is from RNAcentral.
UACGAAGGGGGCUAGCGUUGCUCGGAAUUACUGGGCGUAAAGGGAGCGUAGGCGGACAUUUAAGCCAGAGGUGAAAUCCCGGAGCUUAACUUCGGAACUGCCUUUGAUACUGGAUGUCUUGAGUGUGAGAGAGGUAUGUGGAACUCCGAGUGUAGAGGUGAAAUUCGUAGAUAUUCGGAAGAACACCAGUGGCGAAGGCGACAUACUGGCUCAUUACUGACGCUGAGGCUCGAAAGCGUGGGGAGCAAACAGG